GAACCGUGCGAACGUUGUUCGGAAUCACUGGGCUUAAAGGGCGCGUAGGCGGCUUGCCAAGUCAGAGGUGAAAUCUUUCGGCUCAACCGAAAAACGUGCCUUUGAUACUGGCAGGCUUGAGGGAGGUAGGGGCAUGUGGAACUGGUGGUGGAGCGGUGAAAUGCGUUGAUAUCACUAGGAACGCCGGUGGCGAAAGCGACGUGCUGGCCCUCUUCUGACGCUGAGGCGCGAAAGCCAGGGUAGCGAACGGGGGAUUAGAUACCCCGGUAGUCCUGGCCCUAAACGAUGGGUACUAGGUAGUGGACUUAACAUGGGUUCACUGCCGAAACCAAAAGUGUUAAGUACCCCCGCCUGGGAGUAUGGUCGCAAGGCUG
This 374-nucleotide ribosomal RNA is filed under the name uncultured organism. RNAcentral describes it as "partial 16S ribosomal RNA". It matches the Rfam family "Bacterial small subunit ribosomal RNA", at positions 527 to 896 of the family's 1533-position model. The record is from RNAcentral.